This 263-nucleotide ribosomal RNA is filed under the name uncultured bacterium. Its description in RNAcentral is "partial 16S ribosomal RNA". It matches the Rfam family "Bacterial small subunit ribosomal RNA", at positions 16 to 275 of the family's 1533-position model. The record is from RNAcentral.
AAUCUGGCUCAGGAUGAACGCUAGCUACAGGCUUAACACAUGCAAGUCGAGGGGCAGCAUGACCUAGCAAUAGGUUGAUGGCGACCGGCGCACGGGUGAGUAACACGUAUCCAACCUACCGGUUAUUCCGGGAUAGCCUUUCGAAAGAAAGAUUAAUACCGGAUAGUAUAACGAGAAGGCAUCUUUUUGUUAUUAAAGAAUUUCGAUAACCGAUGGGGAUGCGUUCCAUUAGUUUGUUGGCGGGGUAACGGCCCACCAAGACA